Megalopta genalis is the source of this 2392-nucleotide non-coding RNA. Lineage: Eukaryota; Metazoa; Arthropoda; Insecta; Hymenoptera; Halictidae. The record is from RefSeq and is a predicted model, not a curated record.
CAAGGCAGUCGGCAUCACGGCGCUUCACUACGAGCAUACGAUGAGCAAUAAAUUUUUAGUCGGUUUGGUGAACGGCCUGGUCUUCAACAUCAACAGGAAAAAUAUUUCACCCGAUGAACAGUUUACGAUGAAGUUCGAAUGCUAUACCGGGGCUGUGCACGCUUUAGACAGAAAUCCGUUCGUGCCGAAGAAUUUCCUAUCGAUAGGCGAUUGGUCGGCUAAAAUAUGGUCGGAGGACACGAGGGAAAGCUACCUGUUCAAUACCCGCGAGCAGAAAGUGAGCUUGACUGGCGGCUGUUGGAGCAGAUCUAGGGGUUCGAUAUUUUUCACCACGAAUAAAGAUGGCCUGCUGGAAGCGUACGAUAUUCUGACGGGUAUGCAAAACCCAUUGGCUUCGAUUCACGUCUGCAGCGAUAGCUUGACCGCGAUCAGUCCUAACGAUGAGGGCGAAUUGAUUGCCGUUGGCAGCUCGAAAGGCACGGUUUACAUAUUGGAAUGUCUCGAAGGUCUCACCUCGUUCAGCAGAGAAGACAAAGGUCACUUACUUAGUUACAUGGAGGGGGCCAACAGAUUCGAGAGGGUGUUGGAUAACCGGCUGAGGGAAAUACGGUUGUAUCGUAGUACCAUCGACGAGGGGCCGGUCGAACAUGUGGGAAAGUCGAAAGCAAAGAUCAAAGCGAAGGAGGAACCGAAGGCAAAGAAGAAGAUCGAGGAUACGAAGAAGAAACCGAAGGAGGACAAGAAACUGAAGAGGGUUAGGUCGAAGAGGAAGGAAUCCGCUCUGGUCGAUGUCGAUCUGAUCGAGGCGCAAAAACGUUAUUUUGAAAUCGUCGAAGCGGAGAUUGAGAAAAUGGUGGACAUCGAUCCGGAGGACAAGGCGGCGGUUCAAUCGUUGCUGGAAAUGCGAGUGGUGAUGAAGUCGGAAGAUCCGUCCGAGCAGGAGGAGGAGGACGAUCUGCCGAAAGUCAGGAGCCAAAAGUCCAUCAGGAUGAGAAAGAUGCCGAGGCGACCGAGGAAAACCAGCUUGACAGUUGCCGAAUCGGACUUGUUGAUAGAGCCCAUCAUGGCCGACGAUAAGGCCGGGCAUAGGGGCAAGGGAGCGAGGCGUUACUCGAUCUUGAAGACUUGCCCGCUGGAAGUCUGCAAGCCGGAAAUUUGUUGCAAGGACGUAAUGGGGAAACGAAAGCGCCUCAAGCCGAAGAAGAAAAUAUCAGUGGAGGAUCUGAAGCCUCCAAAGAUGCUAACACCGUUCGUGAUUCAGAGCAAAAGCUAUCAAACGCUGGCCGAUUUCACGGACCAGUUCGAGAAGCCUACGCAAGAGAUGAGAAGGAAGAUCCUGAAGCAACGUCUCCUGCCUCCGAGCAUCCUGAAAAAGGAGCUGGCACUAGCGAAGUCAGCUAUCCGUAGGUGGCAAGAGGAGAUCUUAGCCGGCAAGCUCAGCUUCCGCGCGGUGAAGAGGACCAUCAGUCUGAAAUCGCUGAUGAGCACAGCCAGUGCGAUGGAUCCAGAGUCCAGUGAUCAGCUGGCGGAGAAGAUGCCUGACCAUCCAGAGGCGAGGUCUCGGACUAUUUCGAUGUUACGAAGAGGCGCCGGCAAGAGAAGGAGGACCAAAGUCACGGUGGAGGAUGAGGAAGAACUGAUCGAACAAGAGAAGCAGCGACGAUGGCAGGAACUGAAGAUGAAGGUGAAAGAGUUCGAGUCGAAGCGGCAUUCCAAGGGAACCUACCCUAGGAUAUCCGCUGCAAGAAGAACAUCCAAAAUGGAAGACGUGCCGUGAGAUUAAUUAGGUGAACGAGCUUGGAGCGUCUAGGUUGGAACUACUGCAGAAACUGUGUUACGGAAAUUCUAGGAGGAUUCUUGGAUUGCGUUCGUAAGUUUUCCGAAGCAACCGAUUCUACAAACAAAAGAGCAACCACAAAUCAAGAAGUUUGACAAGCAAUUCCUAAAGAGGAGUUAAUCUACCCUCUAAAUGGCGGAAUUGGACAUCGACCAGGUCCAGUCGAGUGCCCAAAAUAUCAGCGUAAAUCAUCGGAUGAUCGUCGAGGAGCCAGCGCGUCGUCGACCGGACAUUCUAUUUUCUUGUCCGCGGCAUUUCGACGGAGUCUCGGAAUACUUUCGCAAAGUUAUCCGUGGAACUCGCAGAAUUCGGAGUAUCUUCGGGAAGAAUCGCGUUCUACGGACCCGACGGUCCAUCAGCGACCCCAAAAUACGCGAGAACGGGACAUUCACUGAGCGAAGUGUCUCUUCGGAGGCAGACGACGAUUCUGCUCGAGUGUGUCGGAAUACGUUGUCAAGGAGCUGGAGGGUAGCAAAUUGUUUACCAGGAAAUAGUCUAGUAGAGCCGGUUACUGCGGGGUGAUCAAUUGCUGUGCCUCUGGUUACCUUUCCGAUA